GUGGGGGAUAUUGCACAAUGGGGGAAACCCUGAUGCAGCAACGCCGCGUGAAGGAAGAAGGUCUUCGGAUUGUAAACUUUUGUCCUCAGGGAAGAUAAUGACGGUACCUGAGGAGGAAGCUCCGGCUAACUACGUGCCAGCAGCCGCGGUAAUACGUAGGGAGCGAGCGUUGUCCGGAUUUACUGGGUGUAAAGGGUGCGUAGGCGGAUUUUCAAGUCAGUAGUGAAAUGCAGGGGCUUAACCCCUGAGCUGCUAUUGAAACUGAGAGUCUUGAGUGGAGUAGAGGCAGGCGGAAUUCCCGGUGUAGCGGUGAAAUGCGUAGAGAUCGGGAGGAACACCAGUGGCGAAGGCGGCCUGCUGGGCUUUAACUGACGCUGAGGCACGAAAGCAUGGGUAGCAAACAGGAUUAGAUACCCUAGUAGUCC
This 425-nucleotide ribosomal RNA is filed under the name uncultured bacterium. RNAcentral describes it as "bacterial SSU rRNA". It matches the Rfam family "Bacterial small subunit ribosomal RNA", at positions 354 to 796 of the family's 1533-position model. The record is from RNAcentral.